Molecule: long non-coding RNA, 1361 nt
Filed under: Eucalyptus grandis
Lineage: Eukaryota; Viridiplantae; Streptophyta; Magnoliopsida; Myrtales; Myrtaceae
Description: long non-coding RNA (EGRA_LNC003161)
Source: RNAcentral
GCCGCCGUGCGUCCGCGCGAAGCUGCGCGCUAGCUCGCUGGCCGGCUCGCGCUCAGCCCGCACCUCCAGCUCGUCGACCAGGCCGUCCCGAGCUGCUGCCGCCGCCGCCGUUCGGUCACCGGAGCAGCCGAAGCCAGCUCGUCGCCGCUUCUCCUUCGCUCGUGCACCUGCGCUCGCGCCACCGCUCUUCCUCCGUUCGCCGAGAUCCAGCUCGUCCUCGCCUCUAUGGGCUGCUGUAGGCCGCGGAUCAGCCACCUCCGGCCACCGUGGGACCUCGCCUGGCCGCCGUGUGCUGCCGUCCGAGCUGCCGCCUCCUUCCUCCACCGUUCCUUCGCCCGAAUCGCCGCCGGACAGCCCUCCUCCGCCGUGAACAGCAGCUGGAAAAAUGGGUAUUCCAGCCCGAUUUUGGCCCGUUUUGGCCGCCUUCCCGAGCCCGAAUGCUCGGCCCGCUUUGAGGAAAGUCGAUCCUUGCGUCGUCCCUGUCGUUUUGGUCCGCUCGGCUCGCUAAUCCGGUGAGUUUAACUCACUAAAUCUUGAUUAGACGGUUAAUGAUGCCCUAAGUGUGCUUAGUCUAAGUUAAGUAAGUUUAGGUGGUUAGAUUAGUUUAUUUGGUUGAGGAUUAUAUUAAGAUGCUUAAUUAAGUUAAAGUGUGUUUAGUUUAAAGUUAAGUAUGUUUAUUUUAAUAUAAAGCUUUGAUGUGACAUAAUAGGGUUUUACUUUUGAAUUAUUUAAUGUUUUCGAAUUCUGGAAAUUAUAAUAUUAUAUUAAUUCCGAAAUUAUUAAAAUAUUAUUAUAAAAAAAAAACCGGAAAAAUUAUUUUUGAUCCCGAUUGCUCAUAAUUUCGUGCUGAUCGCUGCUGUGUAGUUGGAUUUCGAAAUUGAUGGUUGGAUAUUAUAAAUUGAACGUGGAUCGUGAAAUAUAUGGAUAUUAUUAUUAAAUUAAUUUUCGGAAUAAAUUUAAUUAUUGAACCUUAUUUCCUUAGAAUUUCAUGCUGAUCGCUGCUGUGCAUUUAGAAUUUGAAUUUGGUGAAUGGAUGUGACAAAUUGAGUGUUGAUUGUGAUCAAUAUGGAUUUUAUUUUUAAAAACCCAAAUGUGGGGCUUUGAUGCAAAAAUUGGAUUUUAAUGAUUAUAUUAAAUAGUGGGGUUUGAAAAAAAUGAGAUAUUGGCGUAUUUUAUUUCUAAUAGGGGUUUAGGGGGUUGAACUUGCUGAGACGUUGUCUCAGUGAUUAUUGAAUAACCAUUUCAGGUCCCUGGUGGACGGAACGGCCAGAUAGCUUUGGUUGGCUUUAAGGAGUUGGAGAGGUGAAGUCAUAAGGAUUGGAGAUCGUGUACGACUUGUAGGUCGUAGGAUAACCUCUUUU